GUUUGUGAGCGUGGUCUGGCCGCGACGUCCGCCGCCCCCCUGAUCCGCAGAGUUGACUGGCCGUGAAGGGUGUCCCUUCCCCCUCACCGCUCCCCGUGUGUCCCUCCCCCCGAAGCUGCGCUCGGUCGAAAAGGGGGACCGUACCUGAAAAGAGGAGGACCGUGCUUCCGUCAAGGGAAUACAAGUAGCUGGGCUGCCCUGCUGGAGCCUCCAAGGAAGCUCUCGGGGCCCAUUUGUAGGGGGACGUAGGGUGGUCACACUGCCAAGACUCCAGACACGGCCAGAUGAGGCCCGCAUGUAGCAGUCUGCCUUCU
Molecule: small nuclear RNA, 314 nt
Filed under: Canis lupus familiaris (dog)
Lineage: Eukaryota; Metazoa; Chordata; Mammalia; Carnivora; Canidae
Also listed under: 1 other name
Description: 7SK RNA
Rfam family: 7SK RNA
About the family: 7SK was discovered as an abundant small nuclear RNA in the mid-70s but a possible function has only recently been suggested. Two independent studies have found that 7SK RNA binds the CDK9/cyclin T complex (known as elongation factor P-TEFb).
Source: Rfam by way of RNAcentral